UACGAAGGGGGCUAGCGUUGUUCGGAAUUACUGGGCGUAAAGCGCACGUAGGCGGACUAUUAAGUCAGGGGUGAAAGUCCGGGGCUCAACUCCGGAACUGCCUUUGAUACUGGGUAUCUAGAGACCGAGAGAGGUAAGUGGAACUCCUAGUGUAGAGGUGGAAUUCGUAGAUAUUAGGAAGAACACCAGUGGCGAAGGCGGCUUACUGGCUCGGAACUGACGCUGAGGUGCGAAAGCGUGGGGAGCAAACAGG
RNAcentral lists this unclassified non-coding RNA (253 nucleotides) under uncultured Alphaproteobacteria bacterium. RNAcentral's name for it is "contains 16S-23S intergenic spacer region". It matches the Rfam family "Bacterial small subunit ribosomal RNA", at positions 524 to 776 of the family's 1533-position model. Lineage: Bacteria; Pseudomonadati; Pseudomonadota; Alphaproteobacteria. The record is from RNAcentral.